Long non-coding RNA from Papaver somniferum (opium poppy), 288 nucleotides. RefSeq lists it as uncharacterized. The record is from RefSeq and is a predicted model, not a curated record. Lineage: Eukaryota; Viridiplantae; Streptophyta; Magnoliopsida; Ranunculales; Papaveraceae. The transcript has 3 exons.
UUGAAGUUGAUCAAACCCUAAAAAUCAAUUUCAAACUCUACAAAACAUUAACCCUAGAAUUCAGUAGAACCAAAAUGGAUGAAACACCGACAAAAACACGUCUUCAGAAAUCAAAAGAGAAGAAAUUAGAUGAAAAAGGAAAAAUGAAGUCGAAGAAACAGAAAAAACCCGAUGAACAAGAAGAAAUUGAUAGUGUCGAAACACUAAAGGGGAUGCAAAUCAAGGCAAAGAAAGCAAAGAAAGCUGCACCAAAGGAAGUAUUGGGUGAUGCAGAUAAUGAGGAUGAUA